AGCAGCCGCGGUAAUUCCAGCUCCAAUAGCGUAUAUUAAAGUUGUUGCAGUUAAAAAGCUCGUAGUUGAAUUUCGAGACCGGUCUACUGGUCGUGCUUUUGUACGUACUGGUUUUAUUGGUUUCUCCUUUCUGACGAACUAUAAUGCCAUUAAUUUGGUGUUAUGGGGAAUCAGGACUGUUACUUUGAAAAAAUUAGAGUGUUUAAAGCAGGCUCACGCUUGAAUACAUUAGCAUGGAAUAACGGAAUAGGACGUUUGAUUCUAUUUUGUUGGUUUCCGGGACGGUCGUAAUGAUUAAUAGGGAUAGUUGGG
This 312-nucleotide ribosomal RNA is filed under the name uncultured Glomeromycotina. RNAcentral describes it as "SSU rRNA". It matches the Rfam family "Eukaryotic small subunit ribosomal RNA", at positions 569 to 886 of the family's 1831-position model. Lineage: Eukaryota; Fungi; Glomeromycota. The record is from RNAcentral.